Long non-coding RNA from Setaria italica (foxtail millet), 1358 nucleotides. RefSeq lists it as uncharacterized. The transcript has 3 exons. Lineage: Eukaryota; Viridiplantae; Streptophyta; Magnoliopsida; Poales; Poaceae. The record is from RefSeq and is a predicted model, not a curated record.
ACUCCCCUCGGCCUCACCACUUGCUCCUGUGGAAGAGACUCAGUUCGCUCGCCGCUGGUAGGAUCAAAGGUCGUGCCGCACGGCAGCUACGCCAAGCUGGGCGGCGCACCUGCGAGGUGCGAGCCGCAAGACGACGCUAUGGGCCGAGCGCGGUGGCAAGGCCGAGCUGCGCAGCGCUGCCAACCCCCAUCAAGUUCAGCGCUGAUUCAGCAUCAUCGAGUCCCCUGUGUUUGAUGGCCACGGCAAAGAACAAGGAUCAUAUCUAAAGAAGCAACACCUGUGGUUCUCGGCAAGGAUAUAUGAAUUGAGGUAAGCGCUGCCUGGAAAUUCCUAAAUAAUGCUCAUGUAUCUACAUGUUACAGAUUAUUGCCUUGCUUUCAGCAGGUUUAUUUAGUGCAAAAUUUGAAUGCAAUAUUAAUUUUAUUCUUCUGAGAGCGACCUACACCACUAUACAUUGUAUAUAUAUCAUUUGCCUUUAUUUAAAUUGCUCAUGGCCUGCCGAAGAAUGAACAUAAUAGUUUAGUUUGUUAUCUUUGUAUAGGCCUAUUUCAUGACGCUAAUUAACUAAUCUUUAGUGCUGAUUGCCUCUUAUUAGCUACCACAUAUGUCACCAUGUCAGUUUACCUCUUCUUUUUAUUUGCAUCUGCGCAAUUGCAUUUUAGUAGUCAAGUUGUUUUUGUUCCUUCUUCAGCUUUACAAACAAAACUGGUAUAAAACAAACUCAUCAGCGUGGCUUUUGAUUUUUGCUAUUGUUUCUGCCCUUUGAUCCUGCAAUGCAAGAACUAUCAGGCUAUCUCUAUGGACUUGCAGUUAUCAAACAGGUACAACUAUGUUGCCUUUUCAGCUUUAGAGACAAAAUUAGUAUGAAGUAACCUCGGUGUACAUUUUUAUUCUUACUUUUGUUUCUACAUCUGUCCCUGCACUAAGAGAACCCUAUAUGGACUUGCAGUAACAAUAUUAUGGAUUACUUUUUGCUGCAGUACAAAUUUUUGUUCACUGACAACCUAAAGCACUUGACAGUCAUGACAUUGGCCAGUUCUAGCGGCCUUUUCUGUGGGUUCAGACUAAAUUGGUAAAUUCAAAGUCCAUUUUGCAAAUUGAUGUGUUUUAGCAUAGGUAUAUAGAAUCCUUUUUCUCAUUCUAUGAUACCAGAUUUGAAUGUCUACUGUGUUGCAUACUGUAGGUGAUGUCUUGUAAGAAAUCGGUGCUCGUAGCCUAAGAGGGGGAGGGGGUGAAUGAGGCAAAUUAAAACCUUAACUUAUGGCUUUCACUACUUUUGCAUCAAACUUAAUGCUAUCAAGAUAUGUAACUAUGGUUGAUCUAGUGUGAAACCCUCGUCCAAAAUAAUUUUUGCAACC